GUUACAGCCGCCGCGGUAAUACGUAGGGUGCGAGCGUUGUCCGGAAUUACUGGGCGUAAAGAGCUCGUAGGCGGUUUGUCGCGUCGUCUGUGAAAACCAGCAGCUCAACUGCUGGCUUGCAGGCGAUACGGGCAGACUUGAGUACUGCAGGGGAGACUGGAAUUCCUGGUGUAGCGGUGAAAUGCGCAGAUAUCAGGAGGAACACCGGUGGCGAAGGCGGGUCUCUGGGCAGUAACUGACGCUGAGGAGCGAAAGCGUGGGUAGCGAACAGGAUUAGAAACCCGCGUAGUCC
This 292-nucleotide ribosomal RNA is filed under the name uncultured bacterium. Its description in RNAcentral is "partial 16S ribosomal RNA". It matches the Rfam family "Bacterial small subunit ribosomal RNA", at positions 505 to 796 of the family's 1533-position model. The record is from RNAcentral.